RNAcentral lists this ribosomal RNA (410 nucleotides) under soil bacterium S89M1. RNAcentral describes it as "bacterial SSU rRNA". It matches the Rfam family "Bacterial small subunit ribosomal RNA", at positions 52 to 478 of the family's 1533-position model. The record is from RNAcentral.
CACAUGCAAGUCGAGCGGUAAGGCCUUUCGGGGUACACGAGCGGCGAACGGGUGAGUAACACGUGGGUGAUCUGCCCUGCACUUCGGGAUAAGCCUGGGAAACUGGGUCUAAUACCGGAUAUGACCUCCUAUCGCAUGGUGGGUGGUGGAAAGAUUUAUCGGUGCAGGAUGGGCCCGCGGCCUAUCAGCUUGUUGGUGGGGUAAUGGCCUACCAAGGCGACGACGGGUAGCCGACCUGAGAGGGUGACCGGCCACACUGGGACUGAGACACGGGCCAGACUCCUACGGGAGGCAGCAGUGGGGAAUAUUGCACAAUGGGCGAAAGCCUGAUGCAGCGACGCCCGCGUGAGGGAUGACGGCCUUCGGGUUGUAAACCUCUUUCAGCAGGGACGAAGCGCAAGUGACGGUAC